AACUCACUUAGAGUAAUGUCUAAGUAUCAUUAAGUGAAUACAUAGCUUAAUGAGGGGAACUCAGGGAACUGAAACAUCUAAGUACCUGAAGGAAGAGAAAGAAAUUCGAUUCCGUAAGUAGCGGCGAGCGAACGCGGAUUAGCCCAAACCAAUAAAGUUUUCUUUAUUGGGGUUGCGGACAUAUCAUAACGAAGAGGUAUCGUAAUUGAAGAGGUUUGGAAAGACCCACCACAGAAGGUAAUAGUCCUGUAUGUUAAACGAGAAGACUUYAGAUAUGAUCCAGAGUACCACGGGACACGUGAAACCCUGUGGGAAGCAGGAGGGACCACCCUCCAAGGCUAAAUACUACCUAGUGACCGAUAGCGUAUAGUACCGUGAGGGAAAGGUGAAAAGAACCCCGGGAGGGGAGUGAAAUAGAACCUGAAACCCUGCACUUACAAGCUGUGGAAGCACAUUUCUUGUGUGACCGCGUACUUUUUGUAGAACGGGCCAACGAGUUACGUUAAGUAGCAAGGUUAAGCACUUAAGGUGYGGAGCCGUAGCGAAAGCGAGUUUUAACUGAGCGUUCAGUUACUUGACGUAGACCCGAAACCGGGCGACCUACCCAUGAGCAGGAUGAAGCGAAAGUAAAAUUUCGUGGAGGUCCGAACCCACGAGCGUUGAAAAGCUCGGGGAUGACUUGUGGGUAGCGGUGAAAUUCCAAUCGAGCCCGGAGAUAGCUGGUUCUCCCCGAAAUAGCUUUAGGGCUAGCCUCAAGGUGAGAGAUACGGAGGUAGAGCACUGAAUGUCCUAGGGGGUAUUGCACCUACCGAAGACUAUCAAACUCCGAAUGCCGUCAUCUUAUACUUGGGAGUCAGACUGUGGGUGAUAAGAUUCAUAGUCGAAAGGGCAACAGCCCAGAUCGUCAGCUAAGGUCCCUAAAUGUAAGUUAAGUGGUAAAGGAUGUGGGAUUGCACAGACAACCAGGAUGUUGGCUUAGAAGCAGCCACUCAUUCAAAGAGUGCGUAAUAGCUCACUGGUCGAGUGAUCCUGCGCCGAAGAUUUCCGGGGCUAAAACUUACUACCGAAGCUACGGCAUCAGUAAUGAUGGGUAGGGGAGCUUCCCAUACGGGUUGAAGCAUGACCGUAAGGACAUGUGGACAGUAUGGGAGUGAGAAUGUUGGCAUGAGUAGCGAGAUGUGGGUGAGAAUCCCACAGGCCGUAAACCCAAGGUUUCCAGGGGAAGGUUCGUCCGCCCUGGGUUAGUCGGGACCUAAGCUGAGGCCGAAAGGCGUAGGUGAUGGACAACAGGUUGAUAUUCCUGUACUACCGAUAACCGUUUGAGAGAAGGGAUGACACAGUAGGAUAAGCUAAGCACACUGUUGGUUAUGUGUGCCCAAGCAUUGAGGCAGUCAAAGUAGGCAAAUCCGCUUUGAUAAUGCUGGGAUGUGAUGGGGAGCGAAAUUUAGUAGCGAAGUAGCUGAUUUCACACUGUCAAGAAAAGUCUCUAUCGAGGUUAAAGGUACCCGUACCGCAAACCGACACAGGUGGGUGAGGAGAGUAUCCUAAGGCCAGCGAGAGAACUGUUGUUAAGGAACUCGGCAAAAUGACCCCGUAACUUAGGGAUAAGGGGUGCCACCAUCAGGUGGCCGCAGAGAAUAGGCCCAAGCGACUGUUUACCAAAAACAUAGGUUUCUGCUAAGUCGCAAGACGAUGUAUAGGAGCUGACGCCUGCCCGGUGCUGGAAGGUUAAGGGGAUCUGUUAGAGCAAUCGAAGCAGUGAACUUAAGCCCCAGUAAACGGCGGCCGUAACUAUAACGGUCCUAAGGUAGCGAAAUUCCUUGUCGGGUAAGUUCCGACCCGCACGAAAGGCGUAACGAUUUGGGCACUGUCUCAACAACAGACUCGGUGAAAUUGUAAUUCCGGUGAAGAUGCCGGAUACCUGCGACAGGACGGAAAGACCCCAUGGAGCUUUACUGUAGCUUGACAUUGGGUCUUGGUACUACAUGUACAGGAUAGGUGGGAGGCUUUGAAACCAGGACGCCAGUUUUGGCGGAGCCAUCCUUGGGAUACCACCCUUGUAGUACUGGGACUCUAACCAUAGGCCAUGAAUCUGGUCUUGGGACACUGUCAGGUGGGCAGUUUGACUGGGGCGGUCGCCUCCCAAAAGGUAACGGAGGCGCUCAAAGGUUCUCUCAGUACGGUCGGAAAUCGUACGUAGAGUGUAAAGGCAAAAGAGAGCUUGAUUGCAAGACAUACAGGUCGAGCAAGGAUGAAAAUCGGACUUAGUGAUCCGGUGGUUCUGCGUGGAAGGGCCAUCGCUCAACGGAUAAAAGCUACCCUGGGGAUAACAGGCUUAUCUCCCCCAAGAGUCCACAUCGACGGGGAGGUUUGGCACCUCGAUGUCGGCUCAUCACAUCCUGGGGCUGUAGUAGGUCCCAAGGGUUGGGCUGUUCGCCCAUUAAAGUGGUACGCGAGCUGGGUUCAGAACGUCGUGAGACAGUUCGGUCCCUAUCCGUCGCAGGCGUAG
Molecule: ribosomal RNA, 2509 nt
Filed under: Clostridioides difficile
Lineage: Bacteria; Bacillati; Bacillota; Clostridia; Peptostreptococcales; Peptostreptococcaceae
Description: bacterial LSU rRNA
Rfam family: Bacterial large subunit ribosomal RNA
Source: RNAcentral